UGGAGCGGUGAAAUGCGUAGAUAUCGUUUGGAACGCCAACGGUGAAAACAGGUCGCUGGGGGCAAGCUGACGCUGAGACACGAAAGCCAGGGGAGCAAACGGGAUUAGAUACCCCGGUAGUCCUGGCCCUAAACGAUGUCCACUAGAUCGUGGUCCCUCUGACGGGAUCACGGUCGAAGCAAAAGUGCUAAGUGGACCGCCUGGGAAGUACGGUCGCAAGGCUAAAACUCAAAGGAAUUGACGGGGGCUCACACAAGCGGUGGAGCAUGUGGUUCAAUUCGAAGCAACGCGCAGAACCUUACCUGGGCUUGACAUGCCUGGAUUACCCCGGUGAAAGCCGGGUAGGCCCCGCAAGGGGUACAACUGGCACAGGUGCUGCAUGGCUGUCGUCAGCUCGUGUCGUGAGAUGUCGGGUUAAGUCCCUUAACGAGCGAAACCUUUGCCCUUAGUUACCAGCGGGUUAUGCCGGGGACUCUAAGGGGACUGCCGGUGUCAAACCGGAGGAAGGUGGAGAUGACGUCAAGUCCUCAUGGCCUUUAUGCCCAGGGCCACACACGUGCUACAAUGCGGCGCACAAAGGGAGCCUAGAACGCGAGUUCAUGGGAAUCUCAGAAAUCGCCGCCCAGUUCAGAUCGGAGGCUGCAACCCGCCUCCGUGAAGUUGGAAUCGCUAGUAAUCGCGGAUCAGCUACGCCGCGGUGAAUGUGUUCCUGAGCCUUGUACACACCGCCCGUCAAGUCAUGGGAGCCGGAAAU
Molecule: ribosomal RNA, 754 nt
Filed under: alkali sediment metagenome
Description: bacterial SSU rRNA
Rfam family: Bacterial small subunit ribosomal RNA
Source: RNAcentral